CUGGGCGUAAGCGCGCGUAGGUGGUUAAUUAAGUCAAAUGUGAAAUCCCCGAGCUUAACUUGGGAAUUGCAUUCGAUACUGGUUAGCUAGAGUAUGGGAGAGGAUGGUAGAAUUCCAGGUGUAGCGGUGAAAUGCGUAGAGAUCUGGAGGAAUACCGAUGGCGAAGGCAGCCAUCUGGCCUAAUACUGACACUGAGGUGCGAAAGCAUGGGGAGCAAACAGGAUUAGAUACCCUGGUAGUCCAUGCCGUAAACGAUGUCUACUAGCCGUUGGGGGAUUUGAUCCUUUAGUGGCGCAGCUAACGCGAUAAGUAGACCGCCUGGGGAGUACGGUCGCAAGACUAAAACUCAAAUGAAUUGACGGGGGCCCGCACAAGCGGUGGAGCAUGUGGUUUAAUUCGAUGCAACGCGAAGAACCUUACCUGGCCUUGACAUAGUAGAGACUUUCCAGAGAUGGAUUGGUGCCUUCGGGAAUCUACAUACAGGUGCUGCAUGGCUGUCGUCAGCUCGUGUCGUGAGAUGUUGGGUUAAGUCCCGCAACGAGCGCAACCCUUUUCCUUACUUGCCAGCAUUUCGGAUGGGAACUUUAAGGAUACUGCCAGUGACAAACUGGAGGAAGGCGGGGACGACGUCAAGUCAUCAUGGCCCUUACGGCCAGGGCUACACACGUGCUACAAUGGUCGGUACAAAGGGUUGCUACACAGCGAUGUGAUGCUAAUCUCAAAAAGCCGAUCGUAGUCCGGAUCGCAGUCUGCAACUCGACUGCGUGAAGUCGGAAUCGCUAGUAAUCGCGGAUCAGAAUGCCGCGGUGAAUACGUUCCCGGGCCUUGUACACACCGCCCGUCACACCAUGGGAGUUUGUUGCACCAGAAGUAGGUAGUCUAACCGCAAGGAGGACGCUUACCACGGUGUGCCGAUGACUG
RNAcentral lists this ribosomal RNA (921 nucleotides) under Acinetobacter sp. NF001. Its description in RNAcentral is "bacterial SSU rRNA". It matches the Rfam family "Bacterial small subunit ribosomal RNA", at positions 554 to 1477 of the family's 1533-position model. The record is from RNAcentral. Lineage: Bacteria; Pseudomonadati; Pseudomonadota; Gammaproteobacteria; Moraxellales; Moraxellaceae.